CAGGAUUCAAUUUUAAGUCACAUUCUCCCAGAGACUGCACAUCUUACAAGAAAUCACUAAAAGUUACAGACAUAUCCUCCUCUCCUGAGGUUUCAUCAGAAAUGGCUCAUCAUUGCAUUUUGUGUACUACACACAUGGCAGAAGGCCUCUACCAAAUAUGGCACCUG
This 167-nucleotide long non-coding RNA is filed under the name Cricetulus griseus (Chinese hamster). RNAcentral describes it as "lncRNA (ENSCGRG00000025462.1)". The record is from RNAcentral. Lineage: Eukaryota; Metazoa; Chordata; Mammalia; Rodentia; Cricetidae.